UGAUUUCCUUCGGGACUGAUUAUUUUGUGACUGAGUGGCGGACGGGUGAGUAACGCGUGGGUAACCUGCCUUGUACAGGGGGAUAACAGUUGGAAACGGCUGCUAAUACCGCAUAAGCGCACGGCAUCGCAUGAUGCAGUGUGAAAAACUCCGGUGGUAUAAGAUGGACCCGCGUUGGAUUAGCUAGUUGGUGAGGUAACGGCCCACCAAGGCGACGAUCCAUAGCCGACCUGAGAGGGUGACCGGCCACAUUGGGACUGAGACACGGCCCAAACUCCUACGGGAGGCAGCAGUGGGGAAUAUUGCACAAUGGGCGAAAGCCUGAUGCAGCGACGCCGCGUGAGCGAAGAAGUAUUUCGGUAUGUAAAGCUCUAUCAGCAGGGAAGAUAAUGACGGUACCUGACUAAGAAGCACCGGCUAAAUACGUGCCAGCAGCCGCGGUAAUACGUAUGGUGCAAGCGUUAUCCGGAUUUACUGGGUGUAAAGGGAGCGCAGGCGGUGCGGCAAGUCUGAUGUGAAAGCCCGGGGCUCAACCCUGGUACUGCAUUGGAAACUGUCGUACUANAGUGUCGGAGGGGUAAGCGGAAUUCCUAGUGUAGCGGUGAAAUGCGU
RNAcentral lists this ribosomal RNA (612 nucleotides) under uncultured Lachnospiraceae bacterium. RNAcentral describes it as "bacterial SSU rRNA". It matches the Rfam family "Bacterial small subunit ribosomal RNA", at positions 71 to 691 of the family's 1533-position model. Lineage: Bacteria; Bacillati; Bacillota; Clostridia; Lachnospirales; Lachnospiraceae. The record is from RNAcentral.